This 425-nucleotide ribosomal RNA is filed under the name uncultured bacterium. RNAcentral describes it as "bacterial SSU rRNA". It matches the Rfam family "Bacterial small subunit ribosomal RNA", at positions 359 to 776 of the family's 1533-position model. The record is from RNAcentral.
GAAUAUUGCACAAUGGGGGAAACCCUGAUGCAGCCAUGCCGCGUGUGUGAAGAAGGCCUUCGGGUUGUAAAGCACUUUCAGUGGUGAGGAAGGUUGGUAGUUUAAUACGCUACCAAAUUGACGUUAGCCACAGAAGAAGCACCGGCUAACUCCGUGCCAGCAGCCGCGGUAAUACGGAGGGUGCGAGCGUUAAUCGGAAUUACUGGGCGUAAAGCGUACGUAGGCGGCUUAUUAAGCAAGAUGUGAAAGCCCCGGGCUCAACCUGGGAAUUGCAUUUUGAACUGGUAGGCUCGAGUUUUGAAGAGGGUGGUAGAAUUUCCAGUGUAGCGGUGAAAUGCGUAGAUAUUGGAAGGAAUACCAGUGGCGAAAGCGACUUCCUGGACCAAUACUGACGCUCAUGUGCGAAAGCGCGGGGAGCAAACAGG